This 373-nucleotide long non-coding RNA is filed under the name Micromonas commoda. RNAcentral describes it as "long non-coding RNA (MCOM_LNC000119)". The record is from RNAcentral. Lineage: Eukaryota; Viridiplantae; Chlorophyta; Mamiellophyceae; Mamiellales; Mamiellaceae.
GCGCUCGUUAGGCGCCGCCGGGUACCGGGCGACCGUGAGGCGCGCGGGAGGUAUCGAGGGCGACGUAUACUCGAUACCAGCGGAGACGGACCGCGUCCUUGACGAGACGCGCGACCUGCCGAGCGUGAAACCGCCCGGCGCGGCUGCUGUUGACUCCUUUAUAGAAACAAAAUGGGCGGAGGCGGAGGGGGUGCCUUCACGCCGAGGACGGACGACCAGCUCGACCUCGUCCCCGCCGGCGCGGACGCCGCGGUCGCGAUAGGAUCCGGAUGCAUGGCCGCGGCGUCCGUCGCUCCCUUUCUCAUGUGCGUCGACCGCGCGGUCACCGCCGCCGCGGCCGGCCAGACGUCCUCCGUGUGGCGAGGCAUCGUCG